Molecule: ribosomal RNA, 274 nt
Filed under: uncultured bacterium
Lineage: Bacteria
Description: partial 16S ribosomal RNA
Rfam family: Bacterial small subunit ribosomal RNA
Source: RNAcentral
AUACGGAGGGUCCAAGCGUUAUCCGGAAUCAUUGGGUUUAAAGGGUCCGCAGGCGGUCAAUUAAGUCAGAGGUGAAAGCCCAACGCUCAACGAUGGAACUGCCUUUGAUAGUGGUUGACUUGAGUUAUACGGAAGUAGAUAGAAUAAGUAGUGUAGCGGUGAAAUGCAUAGAUAUUACUUAGAAUACCGAUUGCGAAGGCAGUCUACUACGUAUAUACUGACGCUGAGGGACGAAAGCGUGGGGAGCGAACAGGAUUAGAUACCCUAGUAGUCC